RNAcentral lists this ribosomal RNA (460 nucleotides) under uncultured bacterium. RNAcentral's name for it is "partial 16S ribosomal RNA". It matches the Rfam family "Bacterial small subunit ribosomal RNA", at positions 338 to 795 of the family's 1533-position model. The record is from RNAcentral.
CCUACGGGAGGCAGCAGUGAGGAAUAUUGGUCAAUGGGAGGAAUCCUGAACCAGCCAUGCCGCGUGCAGGACGACGGCUCUACGAGUUGUAAACUGCUUUUGUACCGGGGUAAAAUGGUCUAUGAGUAGGGUUUUGAAAGUACGGUACGAAUAAGGAUCGGCUAACUCCGUGCCAGCAGCCGCGGUAAUACGGAGGAUCCGAGCGUUAUCCGGAUUUAUUGGGUGUAAAGGGUGCGUAGGUUGUUUUAUAAGUUAGCGGUGAAAUACCGAUGCUCAACAUCGGAGCUGCCGCUAAUACUGUAGGACUAGAGAUCGGAUGCAGCAGGCGGAAUGUGUAGUGUAGCGGUGAAAUGCAUAGAUAUUACACAGAACACCGAUUGCGAAGGCAGCUUGCUAGGCCGGAUCUGACACUGAUGCACGAAAGCGUGGGGAUCGAACAGGAUUAGAUACCCGAGUAGUC